RNAcentral lists this ribosomal RNA (671 nucleotides) under Rhodococcus pyridinivorans. Its description in RNAcentral is "bacterial SSU rRNA". It matches the Rfam family "Bacterial small subunit ribosomal RNA", at positions 35 to 720 of the family's 1533-position model. The record is from RNAcentral. Lineage: Bacteria; Bacillati; Actinomycetota; Actinomycetes; Mycobacteriales; Nocardiaceae.
GCUGGCGGCGUGCUUAACACAUGCAAGUCGAACGAUGAAGCCCAGCUUGCUGGUUGGAUUAGUGGCGAACGGGUGAGUAACACGUGGGUGAUCUGCCCUGCACUCUGGGAUAAGCCUGGGAAACUGGGUCUAAUACCGGAUAUGACCUCGGGAUGCAUGUUCUGGGGUGGAAAGUUUUUCGGUGCAGGAUGAGCCCGCGGCCUAUCAGCUUGUUGGUGGGGUAAUGGCCUACCAAGGCGACGACGGGUAGCCGGCCUGAGAGGGCGACCGGCCACACUGGGACUGAGACACGGCCCAGACUCCUACGGGAGGCAGCAGUGGGGAAUAUUGCACAAUGGGCGCAACUGGAUGCAGCGACGCCGCGUGAGGGAUGACGGCCUUCGGGUUGUAAACCUCUUUCACCCAUGACGAAGCGCAAGUGACGGUAGUGGGGAGAAGAAGCACCGGCCAACUACGUGCCAGCAGCCGCGGUAAUACGUAGGGUGCGAGCGUUGUCCGGAAUUACUGGGCGUAAAGAGCUCGUAGGCGGUUUGUCGCGUCGUCUGUGAAAUCCCGCAGCUCAACUGCGGGCUUGCAGGCGAUACGGGCAGACUCGAGUACUGCAGGGGAGACUGGAAUUCCUGGUGUAGCGGUGAAAUGCGCAGAUAUCAGGAGGAACACCGGUGGCGAAG